UUUAUUGGAGAGUUUGAUCCUGGCUCAGGACGAACGCUGGCGGCGUGCCUAAUACAUGCAAGUCGAGCGGACCUUUCAAGAGCUUGCUCUUGAAAGGUUAGCGGCGGACGGGUGAGUAACACGUGGGCAACCUGCCCUGUAGACUGGGAUAACUUCGGGAAACCGGAGCUAAUACCAGAURAUCAWUGACAUCACAUGGUGUCAUUGUAAAAGUUGGGUUUACCUAACACUACGGGAUGGGCCCGCGGCGCAUUAGCUAGUUGGUGAGGUAAUGGCUCACCAAGGCGACGAUGCGUAGCCGACCUGAGAGGGUGAUCGGCCACACUGGGACUGAGACACGGCCCAGACUCCUACGGGAGGCAGCAGUAGGGAAUCUUCCGCAAUGGACGAAAGUCUGACGGAGCAACGCCGCGUGAGUGAUGAAGGCCUUCGGGUCGUAAAKCUCUGUUGUUAGGGAAGAACAAGUACCGUUCGAAUAGG
Molecule: ribosomal RNA, 480 nt
Filed under: Alkalihalophilus pseudofirmus
Lineage: Bacteria; Bacillati; Bacillota; Bacilli; Caryophanales; Bacillaceae
Description: bacterial SSU rRNA
Rfam family: Bacterial small subunit ribosomal RNA
Source: RNAcentral